ACCAAGGCGACGAUCAGUAGCGGGUCUGAGAGGAUGAUCCGCCACACUGGGACUGAGACACGGCCCAGACUCCUACGGGAGGCAGCAGUGGGGAAUUUUGGACAAUGGGCGCAAGCCUGACUCCAGCAUGCCGCGUGUCUGAAGAGCUCGGGUUGUAAAGGACUUUUGUCAGGGAGCAAAACUUACUGGUUAAUACCUGGUGAGGUUGAGAGUACCUGAAGAAUAAGCACCGGCUAACUACGUGCCAGCAGCCGCGGUAAUACGUAGGGUGCAAGCGUUAAUCGGAAUUACUGGGCGUAAAGCGUGCGCAGGCGGACUUUUAAGCCAGAUGUGAAAGCCCCGAGCUUAACUUGGGAAUUGCGUUUGGAACUGGGAGUCUAGAGUCUGUCAGAGGGGGAUGGAAUUCCACGUGUAGCAGUGAAAUGCGUAGAGAUGUGGAGGAACACCGAUGGCGAAGGCAGUCCCCUGGGAUAAGACUGACGCUCAUGCACGAAAGCGUGGGGAGC
Molecule: ribosomal RNA, 506 nt
Filed under: uncultured bacterium
Lineage: Bacteria
Description: bacterial SSU rRNA
Rfam family: Bacterial small subunit ribosomal RNA
Source: RNAcentral